Molecule: ribosomal RNA, 256 nt
Filed under: uncultured bacterium
Lineage: Bacteria
Description: partial 16S ribosomal RNA
Rfam family: Bacterial small subunit ribosomal RNA
Source: RNAcentral
UACGUAGGGUCCGAGCGUUGUCCGGAAUUAUUGGGCGUAAAGGGCUCGUAGGCAGUUCGUCGCGUCGGCUGUGAAAACCCGGGGCUCAACCCCGGGCCUGCAGCCGAUACGGGCAGACUAGAGUUCGGCAGGGGAGACUGGAAUUCCUGGUGUAGCGGUGAAAUGCGCAGAUAUCAGGAGGAACACCGGUGGCGGAAGGCGGGUCUCUGGGCCGGUACCGACGCUGGAGGAGCGAAAGCCGUGGGGAGCGAACAGG